UAGGGAAGUCUUCCACAAUGGGCGAAAGCCUGAUGGAGCAACGCCGCGUGUGUGAUGAAGGGUUUCGGCUCGUAAAACACUGUUGUAAGAGAAGAAUGACAUUGAGAGUAACUGUUCAAUGUGUGACGGUAUCUUACCAGAAAGGAACGGCUAAAUACGUGCCAG
This 165-nucleotide ribosomal RNA is filed under the name uncultured bacterium. Its description in RNAcentral is "partial 16S rRNA". It matches the Rfam family "Bacterial small subunit ribosomal RNA", at positions 355 to 511 of the family's 1533-position model. The record is from RNAcentral.